AUGCUUUCAGGGAGUCACUUCAACAGCACAUCUACUCAAAUUGGAACAAUACAGAGAUUAAGCAUGACCCCUGCACAAGGAUGACACGCAAAUUCAUGAAGCGUUCCUUAAAAAG
Chlorocebus sabaeus (green monkey) is the source of this 115-nucleotide small nuclear RNA. NCBI's taxonomy places the organism in Eukaryota, Metazoa, Chordata, Mammalia, Primates, Cercopithecidae. The record is from Ensembl.